UACGGGGGGGGCAAGCGUUGUUCGGAAUUACUGGGCGUAAAGGGCGCGUAGGUGGCCAACUAAGUCAGACGUGAAAUCCCUCAGCUUAACUGGGGAACUGCGUCUGAUACUGGAUGGCUUGAGUUUGGGAGAGGGAUGCGGAAUUCCAGGUGUAGCGGUGAAAUGCGUAGAUAUCUGGAGGAACACCGGUGGCGAAGGCGGCAUCCUGGACCAACACUGACACUGAGGAGCGAAAGCCAGGGGAGCAAACGGG
RNAcentral lists this ribosomal RNA (253 nucleotides) under uncultured bacterium. RNAcentral's name for it is "partial 16S ribosomal RNA". It matches the Rfam family "Bacterial small subunit ribosomal RNA", at positions 524 to 776 of the family's 1533-position model. The record is from RNAcentral.